GGCAGCCUACCUCCAUUUUGUUUGUAUCUAAGCUGCUGUUGGGCCUUCCUGCUGCCAUAUAGAACUCUUAUUUGGCAUAUUCCAGCCCUGCACUUAAUAAGGCGAAAGGAAAUCAUUAGAGGAUGUGUGUGGGGGCAGGGAGGAACAGGAGCUUCCACUCUUUGCCCUCGUGUUGGUACCUCAGAGGCUUGGCUGUAGAACUGCGGUUUGGUUCUUGCCACAAUGCUCCACUUCUGUGCUUCUUAAGGGAAAGCAGGAGCAACUUGCUCAAAAAAGAAGAGAGACUGGAACUGCCAUCUGCCUCUACUUGGUGUGGAAGAGCCAAUGUAUACAAAGAUUUCCUGAUUCAGUUCCAAGGAGUGAAUUUCACACGUGAUAUGACUACUGGAAGCUUGCUUAUGCAGGAGUUCCACAUGUGCAUCAAGAAGUGAACAUGGAGCUCUGGGCCAAUGCAUCUUGAUCAGCAGCAGCCUGGCACUGAACACAUAAAUUGCAUGGUGCUGCUUACUCCCCCUUGAAUAAGCAUAGAUUCAGACCAACACCAGGAACAGGACAGACCACAUAAAUACUACCUACUGAUUUGUAAGGACACAGCUGGACUAAGGUCUUAAAGCUGAAAGAACAGAUUUACGUAUUAUCAGAGUACGAAUAUUCAAAAAGUCCUUCAAAGAAUUUAUGGCUAAUACAAGUCACAGGGACUGAAGCCAAUUUGAGCAGCCACCAAAGACAAAAAUAAUUGCAACAGCCUUGGCUUUUUGAUAAUUGCUUUUGGACUGCAACUGGGGGACUAAUGACAGCACAGUAGUUCUUUGAAAGAUUGUGGAUUGGGUUUCUCUGUGGGUAUGCCUGUGCCUGUUACUCUGUGUGUAUGCAUAUGUGGUUAAAGGAUCUUACAUUUUUUAGCACAUGCACACAUAAAUAAUGCAAAUCAAAGACUCAACGCAGUAAUAAAGAAGCAGAUUUACUUUUCUAUACUCAAAGGUAAUGCUUCAUAGGGGACAUUCAACAAAUACCUGGAGACAGACCCACAAUAACAAAAGAAAGUCACUUACUACAUUCAAUUUCAUCAGAGCCAUCAAUGCAGUCUUGGAAAGAAUCACAUUGCUGUUUUAUGAGGAUACACUGACCACUGGCACAACGAAAUUGAUUUGGGAGACAAAUCACUGCAAGGGAAAACACAAUGGAACAAUACUGUAUCAUUCUCAGCCCAAAUCAAACAAUGAAGAGAACACUACUAUGAAACUAGGUGACUUCUUAAAAAAUUAUCAACGUUAUACAAAUGCACAGAGUUGCAGUUGCUCUAUCUGCACAGUACCAAAUAUCGGCUUCAAUGUCAAACUUUUAGGAGACAAAGGACACAUAAAUAGUUCAUACUGUGUGUAGCACUGGUAUGUGCGAACGGCAGUAUCUGCAUUAGGCGACCAAUGAAAAACCAACCAGCCACAGUUCUUCAGUCAAGCACCCUAUGCAACCAAGGUGGCGUUUCUGAGUAAAAAAUGUGCCCACCAAAUUAUUUCCUGGGCUUGUAACUUUAUAAUGUUUAUCUUCAUAUAGUUCACAUAAUUACUGGAGGUGCUAGGGGAAAAAAGUAAAUCUGCUUGUGGUUUUAGAGAGAAAAAAUUAUCUCUAAACAGGACCAGUGCCAGGUAAGUUGACCACCUAACUCAUCCCUAAUCUCCAAAACAUGAUCCUACAAAAAAGAAAGAAAAAGGAGUCUAUAAAGUUGUCCUUCUUCUCUCAAAGCCUCUAUUGUCACUUGGGGUUGUUAGUUACAUAAACUAUGAAACAGGCAGCCCACAGUUGAUUUCCACAAAAUGAAAAGGGAGGGGAAGAAAUCAAUUGUUCAGGGGCCAUCCUAUAGCACUUUCAGAUGAAUAUGUUUGGGAGUGAUCAGUGCUAAAUCAGAGCACCAGUAACUUAUAAACCAUGUGUGGGUAGCAUCAGCAUGGGAGUCAGAAAUACCACUGCUUCAGAACAGUAGUUCUAAAGCCCCAUUAACAGCCAAUUAUUUCCAUUUGCACUUUGUGCUUCCCCACUAACACUGCUGAUUCCAGCAACAUCUAGGAGGGCAUUUACUCAGCUCCUGGAAUUAGCCCUGCAAAAAGCUAAGACGAAUGAUCUUACUAUUGCAAUCAGCUUCAUCAGAUUUAUCCUGGCAGUCAAUUUCUCCAUUACAUCUUAAACGUGCAUCAAUACAUUGUCCUUUCUCACACUGAAACUGGGCUACUGAACAUAUUGGACAGUUAUCUUCAUCGCUUUGAUCGUCACAUUCAGAAAAUCCAUCACAUCGCCAUGCCAUAGGGAUGCAGUCUAUCUCCCCAGUUGCACACGUGAACUGGUCUGGAGAACAUGUUGGAGGCUCUGGGGAAGUGAAUUAAAAAUGCACUUAUUUUAAAGUUUAUAAAAAAAUUAGACAUGGAAAAGCAUUUCCUCAUAUACAGGAUCAUCGUUGUACCAAGUUCUGUAAUAAUAUCAAAUUCUCUCCUUGUACAAGAUUUUAACAAUAUCAAGUUUCAUCUAAGGGUGGAGGAAAGGUCUAUGCCUAAACACAUAGAUCCCAUUAUGUUUAUGUCUGGCAGGAUCGCUCACUGGCUUUACCGGGUCAGCUGCAGUGAUGCCUGCCAGGGGUGAUGGGGCACCCAGGACGACGGAGUUUCCCAGUGUAGGCGAGGCGCCAGAGGCCGAUGGUGGCGCAGGCAGCCAGGAUUUUCCUGCUGAGAGGAGGCCUGGCCAUAGGCUGCCAAGCAAGGGCAGGGGAAGCAUGAGGCACGCAGCACGGAUGUCAACAGUGCGCCUUGAAAUGAAGGGAGGAAGCCGAGCAUGGGAGGGGAAGGAACAGGGGAAGGGCUUAACACAGGUUACUUGUGUGAAGGUAAUACAAGGGUAAAAAAGAGCGGUGGGGACCUAAUACAGGGGAGGAGGGGUUGGAGAUGUGAGGGGGCAUAUAAAAGGGAGAUGGCCGGUGAUAAAGGGGCAGAAGGAGAGAGUGUCAUAGACCUCUGGUGAGAGGCUGACACAGUGACCGCCAAGCUCCAAGGAGGAGGAGGACCGGAGUGAUAAGAAACCCCCUCCCCUUUGUAUUCUGAGGCCUGACCCUAAGUGCCUUUCUCAUAGCCAGAGUGGUGCAGACCCAUUCAGACAGUUUACUAUCUAAUGUUCUGGAUAGGAGGCAGGCACUACAAACUGUGGCUAACUAUGGCUCAACCCCAAGUUUUUGGCCUGAUACAGGAAUUGUUACAUGCAUAUCCAUAAUGUGAGUUCUUUAUGUGAUCAGGCAAAAUGAAAUUCCUAGCUGUUAAUAGUUUUGAAAUUUAUAAACUUGCUUUUUAAACAUGUA
Long non-coding RNA from Hemicordylus capensis (graceful crag lizard), 3337 nucleotides. RefSeq lists it as uncharacterized. The transcript is spliced from 4 exons. The record is from RefSeq and is a predicted model, not a curated record. NCBI's taxonomy places the organism in Eukaryota, Metazoa, Chordata, Lepidosauria, Squamata, Cordylidae.